GGUGAUUGUAGUUCAGUUGGUUAGAACGCCAGAUUGUGAUUCUGGAGGUCGUGGGUUCGAGCCCCAUCAUUCACCCCCA
This 79-nucleotide transfer RNA is filed under the name Pseudochryseolinea flava. RNAcentral's name for it is "Chryseolinea flava tRNA-His". It matches the Rfam family "tRNA". From Rfam's summary of the family: Transfer RNA (tRNA) molecules are approximately 80 nucleotides in length. Their secondary structure includes four short double-helical elements and three loops (D, anti-codon, and T loops). Further hydrogen bonds mediate the characteristic L-shaped molecular structure. tRNAs have two regions of fundamental functional importance: the anti-codon, which is responsible for specific mRNA codon recognition, and the 3' end, to which the tRNAs corresponding amino acid is attached (by aminoacyl-tRNA synthetases). tRNAs cope with the degeneracy of the genetic code in two manners: having more than one tRNA (with a specific anti-codon) for a particular amino acid; and 'wobble' base-pairing, i.e. permitting non-standard base-pairing at the 3rd anti-codon position. Lineage: Bacteria; Pseudomonadati; Bacteroidota; Cytophagia; Cytophagales; Fulvivirgaceae. The record is from RNAcentral.